AGCUCCAAUAGCGUAUGUUAAUGUUGUUGCGGUUAAAAAGCUCGUAGUUGGAUCUCGGCGCCCCUCUGCCGGUGGCCUGUUUGGGCCGACUGGCACGAUUCGGGGCGUGAAUGUUUUGCCGGAAGGGUUUCGGGUGCUCUUGACCGAGUGCUCGGAGUCGCCGGCAGGUUUACUUUGAAAAAAUUAGAGUGCUCAAGGCAGGCCUAUCACGCCUGAAUAUCCGUGCAUGGAAUAAUGGAAUAGGACGUCGUUUCUAUUUUGUUGGUGGGGUGUCAAAGCCCCCUUGUUUCGGAAAUCGACGUAAUGAUUAAUAGGGACAGUCGGGGGCAUUAGUAUUCAGGCGACAGAGGUGAAAUUCUUGGACCGCUUGAAGACUGCCUACUGCGAAAGCAUUUGCCAAGAAUGUUUUCA
RNAcentral lists this ribosomal RNA (411 nucleotides) under uncultured microorganism. Its description in RNAcentral is "SSU rRNA". It matches the Rfam family "Eukaryotic small subunit ribosomal RNA", at positions 587 to 972 of the family's 1831-position model. The record is from RNAcentral.